Molecule: transfer RNA, 71 nt
Filed under: Marmota monax (woodchuck)
Lineage: Eukaryota; Metazoa; Chordata; Mammalia; Rodentia; Sciuridae
Description: tRNA.Ala
Source: RNAcentral
GGGGUUGUAACUCAGUGAUAGAGCGCUCACCUAGCAUGUGUGAGGCCCUGGGUUUGAUCCUCAGCACCACA